Molecule: ribosomal RNA, 497 nt
Filed under: uncultured bacterium
Lineage: Bacteria
Description: partial 16S ribosomal RNA
Rfam family: Bacterial small subunit ribosomal RNA
Source: RNAcentral
GAUGAACGCUGGCGGCGUGCCUAAUACAUGCCAGUCGAGCGAACGGACGAGAAGCUUGCUUUUCUGAUGUUAGCGGCGGACGGGUGAGUAACACGUGGAUAACCUACCCAUAAGACUGGGAUAACUUCGGGAAACCGGAGCUAAUACCGGAUAAUAUUUUGAACCGCAUGGUUCAAAAGUGAAAGACGGUCUUGCUGUCACUUAUAGAUGGAUCCGCGCUGCAUUAGCUAGUUGGUAAGGUAACGGCUUACCAAGGCAACGAUGCAUAGCCGACCUGAGAGGGUGAUCGGCCACACUGGAACUGAGACACGGUCCAGACUCCUACGGGAGGCAGCAGUAGGGAAUCUUCCGCAAUGGGCGAAAGCCUGACGGAGCAACGCCGCGUGAGUGAUGAAGGUCUUCGGAUCGUAAAACUCUGUUAUUAGGGAAGAACAUAUGUGUAAGUAACUGUGCACAUCUUGACGGUACCUAAUCAGAAAGCCACGGCUAACUACGUG